ACUGGACCAAGAAGGUGAGGACCCAGAAAAGGCAUUAUCUUUUGCUACUAGAGCUCUGAAAGUUAUUGAUAAAGAUGGUAAUAAACCUUCUCUACUUCUUGCCAUGGCUUUGCAAUUAAUGGGCUCUGCUAAUUGUAGUUUAAAAAGGUUUAGUGAUAGUUUAGGGUAUUUAAAUAGGGCUAAUAGGAUAUUGUGUAAGCUAGGGGAGGAGGGAAGUAAUAAUGUAGGGGAUAUGAAGUCAGUGCUGCAUGCGGUGCAACUAGAGUUAGCGAAUGUGAAGACAGCAAUGGGGAGGAGAGAGGAGGCUUUAGAGAAUCUUAGG
This 322-nucleotide unclassified non-coding RNA is filed under the name Hevea brasiliensis (rubber tree). Lineage: Eukaryota; Viridiplantae; Streptophyta; Magnoliopsida; Malpighiales; Euphorbiaceae. The record is from RNAcentral.